Long non-coding RNA from Hordeum vulgare subsp. vulgare (domesticated barley), 477 nucleotides. RefSeq lists it as uncharacterized. The transcript is spliced from 2 exons. Lineage: Eukaryota; Viridiplantae; Streptophyta; Magnoliopsida; Poales; Poaceae. The record is from RefSeq and is a predicted model, not a curated record.
UGCAAGUAUACCCACACAUACAUAGAAGGAAGGAAACAAGAAACCAUUCCUCAUGGAACUUAUCAAUAGCAAAACAAGAGCCCUACUCUUGGUAGCCCUUUUGAUGAUGUUUACCACCCUAUUGUCAUGCCAUGCAGGUUCCACAAAACCAAUCCCCAUCCCGGAUUUAUGUGUGCCUCUUGUAAGCUGUGCGAAAGGCCAUGAAUCCGAAGAGGCAUGCAAGAACCACUGCUCAUUUUUUGAAUUCAAAAAGAGCCAUUGUAAACCAAUCAAAGGUGGUUCUUGUUGUUGCUCUAAUUAAAGGGUCGCAUAGGUAAUGGAAGAAAUGUGCUAAUAAAUUGAUGUGUGUAAGAUAGGCUCAAGAUACAUGUGCACCAUGAAUUUGUCUAGUUCAUGCAAAAGUUUGAAUAAUGUAUUUAUCAGAAAUUUGACUGUGAUCAGUUCUUGAAAAUAGAGGAACCAAUUUUUGUUGGUUUA